GACGAACGCUGGCGGCGUGCUUAACACAUGCAAGUCGAACGGAAAGGCCCUGCUUGCCGGGUACUCGAGUGGCGAACGGGUGAGUAACACGUGGGUGAUCUGCCCUGCACUUCGGGAUAAGCCUGGGAAACUGGGUCUAAUACCGGAUAGGAGCCAUUUUUAGUGUGAUGGUUGGAAAGUUUUUUCGGUGUAGGAUGAGCUCGCGGCCUAUCAGCUUGUUGGUGGGGUAAUGGCCUACCAAGGCGGCGACGGGUAGCCGGCCUGAGAGGGUGGACGGCCACAGUGGGACUGAGAUACGGCCCAGACUCCUACGGGAGGCAGCAGUGGGGAAUAUUGCACAAUGGGCGCAAGCCUGAUGCAGCGACGCCGCGUGGGGGAUGACGGCCUUCGGGUUGUAAACGCCUUUCGCUAGGGACGAAGCUUUUUGUGACGGUACCUAGAUAAGAAGCACCGGCUAACUACGUG
This 465-nucleotide ribosomal RNA is filed under the name uncultured bacterium. RNAcentral describes it as "partial 16S ribosomal RNA". It matches the Rfam family "Bacterial small subunit ribosomal RNA", at positions 28 to 507 of the family's 1533-position model. The record is from RNAcentral.